UACGAAAGGGGCAAGCGUUGUUCGGAUUUACUGGGCGUAAAGGGCACGCAGGCGGUCUUGCCAGUCAGGGGUGAAAGCCCGGGGCUAAACCCCGGAACUGCCUCUGAUACUGCAAGACUAGAGACUAGGAGAGGGUGGUGGAAUUCCCAGUGUAGAGGUGAAAUUCGUAGAUAUUGGGAGGAACACCAGAGGCGAAGGCGGCCACCUGGACUAGAUCUGACGCUCAGGUGCGAAAGCGUGGGGAGCAAACAGG
RNAcentral lists this ribosomal RNA (253 nucleotides) under uncultured microorganism. RNAcentral's name for it is "partial 16S ribosomal RNA". It matches the Rfam family "Bacterial small subunit ribosomal RNA", at positions 524 to 776 of the family's 1533-position model. The record is from RNAcentral.